Molecule: long non-coding RNA, 239 nt
Filed under: Elaeis guineensis (African oil palm)
Lineage: Eukaryota; Viridiplantae; Streptophyta; Magnoliopsida; Arecales; Arecaceae
Description: long non-coding RNA (EGUI_LNC043402)
Source: RNAcentral
UACUAUGGUUCUUGAUAUAAUACUAGCUUAACAUGAAGGAAGGCAUGUGUCGUAUUCUUAACACUUCACCAUUAUGACUUAAAAUAAUUUAAACAAAGAACUUAGAUCUCAUGUACAUCUAAAAUAUAUAGUAUAAAAAUACAUCAUAUAUAAUUUUAAAUUUUAAUUCUAACUAUCAGGAUGUAAGAGCAUAUAAAGAAAAUCUAAUGGUUAUGGACUUUUGAAAAAUCAUUCGAGCC